Molecule: transfer RNA, 784 nt
Filed under: Marmota monax (woodchuck)
Lineage: Eukaryota; Metazoa; Chordata; Mammalia; Rodentia; Sciuridae
Rfam family: tRNA (bases 535-601)
Source: RNAcentral
GCUAACUCCUAACUGGCUGGGUCACCAGUGUAGACACAGGUCAGUUUCUCUGUGCUUCACAGCUUGGCUUGGAACAUCAGUGAGACCCUCAGAGGCAGAGCACAUGUCCCAUGACACCCAUGGUGGGGAUGAUAUGCUGGGAACCCUAAGCAAAUGUUCUGCCAAGUGGCCAUGCCAUGUCCCUCUGCUGUGCCCAGUGGCCUCUUCUCCAUCCCCACACACAGGCUGCAGGGUAAGAUCCCAUUCUCAGCACCUGCCCAGAGUCCAGGAGGGCAGGUCUCUAUAUCGGCCAGGAGCAAAGGUCAAACUUUGGGCCCCUUCUCUGGAGCUCACUGACCUCAGACCAAAGAGAAACUACAUUCCCUACAUCAAACAUUCCUUUACAGGUAGUUGGAUGAAAUGCCUGAGUUCAGGGAUAUGUUCAAAAAAGUGUAGUUCUGAGCAGUAUAUGUAAAUAUCUGCUUUAUCAUACAGGCUACAGCCUCUUAAACUUGCAGAUGUCCCCCACUUUUAAAAAUGACGGGUAGGGGCUGAGGUUGUGGCUCAGCGUUAGAGCACUCAUCUAGCACAUGGGAGGCCCUGGGUUCGAUCCACAGCACCACAUAAAAAUGCAUAAAAUAAAAUAAAGGUAUUGUGUCCAACUACAACUAAAAAAUAAAUGUUAAAAAAAGAAUGAAGGGUAAUCAUUAUUCUAGGAGUACCAGAAACCACAGCACUCCUUUUGCUCACCUGUGAAUAGAGGUAGAAAGCUGGCCAGCCAUCUCGCAGAGUAGCCACCAGCUGC